UCGAUCAACAAGUGCAACGUAUUAUUCGAUGAUUACAAUACGAGAUACGACCUAUUAUACGUAAUAUAUGAAAGUAUUAAUAAAGUGAUAAUAAUCAACUCGUCCAAGCUGUUCAGGUGGGGCACAAACUUAAUUAUUGAGAUUGUGCUCUUGAUGGCAAGGGUAUUUUACAUUAGAUCUUAAACUAUUCCGCAUGAAGAUAGAAUUCCAAAUAAUCGACGUGAAUGUGCAGUGACCUUCGAUGAUGUAACUCGAUUUCAGUGACAUCAAACUCUCGAGUUAUAAUGGGUGAUCCCGGGUACCUGAUACACCCAAAGGGAGAUGUAUUGUCAAGAAAUGGUUCUGAGAUUUAUGCACAAUAAAUUUUUAUAUAAUGCUAUUAA
Diachasma alloeum is the source of this 383-nucleotide long non-coding RNA. RefSeq lists it as uncharacterized. Lineage: Eukaryota; Metazoa; Arthropoda; Insecta; Hymenoptera; Braconidae. The transcript is spliced from 3 exons. The record is from RefSeq and is a predicted model, not a curated record.